UACAGAGGCCACAAGCGUUAAUCGGAAUCACUGGGCUUAAAGGGUGCGUAGGCGGCGCCGCAAGUGCUUUGUGAAAUCCCGCAGCUUAACUGCGGAAUUGCUCGGCAUACUGCGGUGCUUGAGGUCGGUAGAGGUCGUCGGAACAGUAGGUGGAGCGGUGAAAUGCGUAGAUAUCUACUGGAACGCCAAAGGUGAAGACAGGCGACUGGGCCGAUUCUGACGCUGAGGCACGAAAGCGUGGGGAGCGAAC
Molecule: ribosomal RNA, 250 nt
Filed under: uncultured bacterium
Lineage: Bacteria
Description: partial 16S ribosomal RNA
Rfam family: Bacterial small subunit ribosomal RNA
Source: RNAcentral